Molecule: RNA transcript, 5153 nt
Organism: Mus musculus (house mouse)
Lineage: Eukaryota; Metazoa; Chordata; Mammalia; Rodentia; Muridae
Gene: Vwc2
Gene name: von Willebrand factor C domain containing 2
Exons: 5
Source: RefSeq, marked validated
GAAAGGUCCAGAGGGGAGUGAGUGACAAGUCUGAGAAGGAAGCCUGAGUGAGCCUGACAGGUGGGCUGAGCAGCGGCUGCCAGGGCAGCGCGUGCUGCUCAGGUUUCCUACCCACCGAGGGCAGGGCAACGCCAGCCCUGGUGGCGACGCCUCGUGAGCGUGGGCAGCGGAGGAGGGAGCGGGGUGUGAGCCCUACGCUAGGCAGCUGCGACAGGCGGCGGGCGUGCGGCUCUCAGCCAGCCUGAAUCCCAUUGGCCCUCGGGACGCGCUCCGAGCUGCUCCUCUCCCCCAGGGCGCAGAGGCUGCCCACUGGUCCGCGAGCUCGGUUUGGAGAAAUUCUUUGCCUGGCUAGCAAGGAGAGCAAGACUGGGCUCUGGCGACUCCCUAGAGCACGCUUCAUGGUGGAGACUCAGGGAGGAGAAACCCAGGGAUGACAGGCAGAAGGCAACACGGGCACUGACAGGACUCCAAGAAGGCUACCGGCCACCAGCAGCCAGAUGAACAGGCUGGGUCAAAUGCUCUAGCUAGGUGCAUGCGCCUGGUGGAGCGCGCAGGUCGGACUGUGCUCUCCGCGGUCCGCCCUGCGCUGGUGCCCGGCCGGUACCAGGAUGGGCACUGGAGCCCCAGGGCCGCGCCCGCUACAGCCCGGCGUCCCUCCUGCGUCCUGAGCUCAUGGACGGCGACUCCAGGCUGGCAGCGGCGCGCCCCCGGGCUGUGAAUGCGACUCGCUCAUCGUCCGCGCUCCCCGCCCGCCCGCCCGCCGGGACGUGGUAGGGGAUGCCUAGCUCCUCUGCGAUGGCAGUUGGCGCGCUCUCCAGUUCCCUCUUGGUCACCUGCUGCCUGAUGGUGGCUCUGUGCAGUCCGAGCAUCCCGCUGGAGAAGCUGGCCCAAGCUCCUGAGCAACCCGGCCAGGAGAAGCGCGAGCACGCGUCUCGGGACAGCCCGGGGCGGGUGAGCGAGCUCGGGCGCGCCUCGAGGGACGAGGGCAGCAGUGCCCGGGACUGGAAGAGCAAGGGCAGCCGCGCGCUCUCGGGCCGGGAGGCGUGGAGCAAGCAGAAGCAGGCCUGGGCUGCCCAGGGCGGGAGCGCCAAGGCCGCGGACUGGCAGGUCCGGCCUCGCGGGGAUACCCCACAGGGGGAGCCCCCGGCCGCCGCCCAGGAAGCUAUCAGCCUGGAACUCGUUCCCACACCGGAGCUGCCUGAGGAAUACGCCUACCCGGACUACCGCGGGAAGGGCUGUGUGGACGAGAGUGGCUUCGUGUAUGCGAUCGGGGAGAAGUUCGCCCCAGGUCCCUCAGCCUGCCCGUGUCUGUGUACGGAGGAGGGGCCCCUUUGCGCACAGCCAGAGUGCCCACGGCUUCACCCGCGCUGCAUCCACGUCGACAACAGCCAGUGCUGUCCGCAGUGCAAGGAGAAGAAGAACUACUGCGAGUUCCGGGGCAAGACCUACCAGACUUUGGAGGAGUUUGUGGUGUCUCCAUGUGAACGGUGCCGCUGUGAAGCCAAUGGUGAAGUGCUGUGCACAGUGUCGGCGUGUCCCCAGACGGAAUGUGUGGACCCCGUAUAUGAGCCUGAUCAGUGCUGCCCGAUCUGCAAAAACGGUCCAAACUGCUUUGCAGAAACCGCUGUAAUCCCAGCUGGUAGAGAGGUGAAGACUGACGAGUGCACCAUAUGUCACUGCACUUAUGAAGAGGGCACGUGGAGAAUUGAACGGCAAGCCAUGUGCACGAGACAUGAGUGCAGACAAAUGUAGACUUCACAAUACAGAAACUCUCAUGUUUUUCUAGAAUAUUUUACUAAUGUGACAUUCUAGAUGACUCUGAGAAAUAUCAAUCAAAAACAGAAGACUUUGGAUAAGGAGUCAAGGAAAAUGGUUGGUACUUUUGUUUUUCUUGGUAACAAAUACAGCAAGAGACAGAAAUGGAUGUAUUUCAAAACAUCAAUAAGAACUUUGGGCAUACUCCCUCUCUAAAUAAAUGUGCUAUUUUCACAAUACCUUUAAUUCAUAUUAUGAGACAAUCACUUCUGCAAGCAUCACCUACUCAAUGCUGAGUUCACUUUACUGAAUCACAUCCAGUCCACUACACCUGUGGACCAAGCACUGGCUCAAACAGUGCAUCAAACCAAAGUUCCCACUGUUGUCUCCCUGCCUGUUUUUUUUUUCCCAGAGUUUUAGCAUAUUUCACACAUCUAGGCCAUGACCAUCCACAGAUCAAAUCCCUCACUGCUGUCAUGGUUAAGGUUAGAUGUGACAAUCAAUGGUCAGUUCUGAUGAAAGUCAAGACUAAUUGCUUUGAUGUAAAAGUUCUAAUACUGAAGGAAACUUCUAAUGAAAACCGUGGUACUUAUAAUAAAGGUGAUCAAGUUUACAGUUUUGGUAUUUCUUUGUUUAUACCAAUUUUAAAUAAAAACUUCAUAUCCUAGACUUUAUUUUAGGAAUGAGUGUAUCUGCAUAUCUCCAUGCUUCUGUGUAAUACAACUGAGCAGUGCAGCGGCGUCUAUGAAACUGAUGACAGGGAACCAAGUUGCGCACAUCGAGAUCCAGAAGCUCCAACUGUGUUGGAAAAGGGUUUAAAGGCAAUGGCUGGUGACCUUCAUCACAAUGGCAAACCUCACUCUCAUUUGGAAAGCACUUGCUGGUUUUGAUUUACCAUAAAAACAAGUAGGAACAAAACCUAAUUUUAAAUGCCUAAUGGUUAACUGAAUAAAUCUACCAACUUCUAAGUGAUACUGUCAAUCAUGGUGAGAAUGUUCACUCAAAGAUUCAGUAACAUGAAAACUUAAAUGAAGAUGUGCUCCAAGUGUUUGGCCUGCUGACAGUUUAUGAUGCAUGAAACGCAUACCUGUGAUUCUCUAAUGAGAAAAUAAAACUCAUCAUACAGGCAUGGUAAUAUCAAGUACAAUCGAAAUAUACCUAACAUCAUUUAUUAAGGUAUUGUUGUAGCCUGUUAAAAUAAUUCUAAGUAUCUCCCACUUUAGUUAGAAUUCAGUUUUCAGGAAGUAGAAACACUUUCCAGUUUUAUUUAAUAUUUAAUAGUAUUUUAUUUACUAACAUUUACUGUUUUUUCUUCAAUUUCUGGAAUUUACAUUUGACUUUAUUUCUAGAUAAAUUUAUGAGAAUGUUCAUUUCCCUAUUCUUUUGUUUUACAUUGAAAAAUUAAAUGCAGUUCUAUUUUUGUCUCUGGGGUUAUUUUGAUUGCCUUAUUUAAACUCACAAUGCCUACAAAAGUGGCUAGCACUGGCCCUACUUGGGACAUUCGAGAAUUUGAGAAAAUGCCUGAAGUUUCAACCUAGUGAAUGAGUGGGCAGGAAUCCAUGUCCGCUUUAGACCAGAACCUGUGGCACAAAGUCUUCUCAUUCAUGUUUAGACACUGACCUCUAGAAAGGAGCCAGCAACAUCCCAAGAAACACAGGAGGGAAUGGACAGCACCAGUCUCUCCUAACUCAGCUGCAGUCCUGAAACUUGUCAGCUAAGAGCUGCUCCUCCCAAAAGUGUUGAUGGCCCCCCUUUUCUACUUGCCACAUGUUUUAAUUUCUAAUUAAACUGUAUUCAUGUCUUAUUAAAGUGGAUUUUCAAACAACAAUAGAUUUUUAUGGUUUUGUUUAUAAUUCUUGUACUGAGUUUAUAAAAUACGACCACAUAUUAUAAUCCUUUCUGUACUGGUGACUGACUUUUCGUGCUGUGGAAGAUAUCUGACACAAACACUAUACAGGAUGCUGUAUUUAUCUUUGCUUACAGCUUCAGACGUUCCAUCUCAUGGUCGCUAGCUCCACAAUACAUUGCUGUGGUCGAAGCUUGGCCUUGGGCAGGUUCUCACCUCUGGCAGCAAAAAGAAAUGAAACAAGCAUGCCCCCAGGGAACAUACUUCCUCCCUCAGCCUUGUCUCUCAAAGUUUUUAUCAGCUUCCAAAAUAUGUCUAGGAAGCAUUCAUUGAGCAAGUGCCACGAAAUAGUCAACAAAUGCGCCUGUGGGGGACAUUUCAUACUCAAAUCUUAAUGGACAUAUAUUAACAUAAUAUAUAAAUAAUAAUAUUUAAAUAUUAUUACAUAAUAACAUUAUUUAUAUAUUAACAUAAUAUAUAAACUAGCAUAUAUUAGCUGAUGAGGAAAACUAUCCUUUAUUAGCUGACAAUCUAUGGAAAAUACUACAUUUUCGAUUCUAGUGUCUGCCUGCUAUCAUCAACUCUGCUGUGAGAAAAACAUCCAGUUUUGGUGAUAUCACUGAGGUCAAAGCCCAGAAUAUGCACUAUAUUCACAGGGAAUUCGCAGGCUGAUUCAAAGAAGGGAUAGAGCAUCCUCCAUUCAGCAUUUUCCCAAGGGGAGUAGUGUGAGCCCUAGCCAAUCUCUCACUUAUUCCACAGUUAAUGACACACUCUGUGUUCUAAGGCCAUCAGGCCAGGGUAGUGAUCAGUGUGUACUCUUUGGCUCCAUAGACCCCUUACUCCAGCAUGCUCCCUGAAGGCUGUAAGUCAAUGCAAAUAAGUGAUUGUACCAAUUGCCAUUCUUAGCUUUUACAUUCAGGUCAAUACCUUAUACCAGUAACAUUAUUUACCAUUUAAAAACAAUGUGUUGGCUACCUAAUUAUAUACAGCAGCUAGACAUAAAAUCAGGAAGUAAACAUUACAAAGCAGCAAUGCUUAGGAAAGCUAAGUGCCUACUGACUAUGACUUACUUUUUUUCACGCAGCUUUCUGAAACUUUGGAUUAAACUCAUUCAGUAGCAGCCUGCCCAUGUUUGCACACUGACUGGCUUGUAGUUUUAAGUCUAUUAGUGAUCAAACAGAAACAACGAUAAAAAAAAAAACCUCCCAAUUAAAACAAUGCCAACAGUUGUGGAGGUGACUAGACAGGUUGGACUUUGCAUUACCAGGGUCCACACCCUGGCCAUGCCCAUGUAUUCUCUAUUUCUGACCCAGGAAUAUAUUCCUACUUUGAAAUAGGUAUGGUUUCAAUAAAAGUAGUUGAUAUAAAAAUAUUAUUUUCUGUAUCUUUUUCUAGGUUAUAUGUUAACCACAGCCAAUUGAUAUAUUUAAAAAUUCACAUAUAUAUGCAUGUAACCCUUAAAUCAGAAACAGAAUUGGAUUUCUGUUUAAGGCAAGGUUAAAUGUCUUAAAAAUAUACAAUGGGCUUUUUUGUACACUAAAAAUUAUAAUGA